This 778-nucleotide ribosomal RNA is filed under the name uncultured Neocallimastigales. RNAcentral's name for it is "partial large subunit ribosomal RNA". It matches the Rfam family "Eukaryotic large subunit ribosomal RNA", at positions 23 to 622 of the family's 3401-position model. Lineage: Eukaryota; Fungi; Neocallimastigomycota; Neocallimastigomycetes; Neocallimastigales. The record is from RNAcentral.
GAGACUCUGUGCGCGUGCAUAUCAAUAAGCGGAGGAAAAGAAACUAACAAGGAUUCCCCUAGUAACGGCGAGUGAAGCGGGAAGAGCUCAAAUUUGAAAUCUUAAAGGGUUUCCCUUUACGAAUUGUAGUUUAAAGAAGUGUUUUCUGUUGGAGUUUCGGUAAAAGUUCUUUGGAAUAGGACAUCAUAGAGGGUGAGAAUCCCGUAUUUGACCUUACUUUCCUAGCUGUGUGAUACACUUUCAAAGAGUCGGAUUGUUUGGGAAUGCAGUCCAAAAUGGGUGGUAAAUUUCAUCUAAAGCUAAAUAUUGGCGAGAGACCGAUAGCGAACAAGUACCGUGAGGGAAAGAUGAAAAGAACUUUGAAAAGAGAGUUAAACAGUACGUGAAAUUGUCAAAGGGAAGCGUUUGACACCAGUGUUGUUUAGUUGGAAAAUCAAUUCAAUAGUUUUUGAUUUUAAGUAGUAUUGACUUCAUCAGCUUGCUGCUUUCUUUCUCAGAAAUUAUUGAAUGCACUUUUCAGUUAACAAGUCAACAUCAAUUUCUUUUGUUGUAAAAGGGUAAGAGGAAGGUGGCUUACGCUUCGGCGUAAGUGUUUAUAGCCUUUUACCUCUGCAAUCGGAGAGAUUGAGGACAGCAGCGUAGACUCCUUCGGGGGUUAGAUACACUUGUGCUAAGCUAUAGCCUUGUAUAGACAACCUGUUGACUAUGCUCAGUCAUGUAGCUUACUCGCUUGUGCUAUUUUACCUACGCUUAGGAUGUUGAACUCUAUCACACACAG